UGUGAGCUGCCCGGCCGUCGUCAGGAGGCACAGGUAUGUUGUGAGCUGCCCGGCCGUCGUCAGGAGGCACAGGUAUGUUGUGAGCUGCCCGGCCGUCGUCAGGAGGCACAGGUAUGUUGUGAGCUGCCCGGCCGUCGUCAGGAGGCACAGGUAUGUUGUGAGCUGCCCGGCCGUCGUCAGGAGGCACAGGUAUGUUGUGAGCUGCCCGGCCGUCGUCAGGAGGCACAGGUAUGUUGUGAGCUGCCCGGCCGUCGUCAGGAGGCACAGGUAUGUUGUGAGCUGCCCGGCCGUCGUCAGGAGGCACAGGUAUGUUGUGAGCUGCCCGGCCGUCGUCAGGAGGCACAGGUAUGUUGUGAGCUGCCCGGGCGUCGUCAGGAGGCACAGGUAUGUUGUGAGCUGCCCGGCCGUCGUCAGGAGGCACAGGUAUGUCAUUACUAUUGUGCAAAUAUACAAUGCCGUGCAAUUAUGUGGAAAUUUUAUCUACCGAUAUACAGGAAAAAUCUUGUUUACAUUAUUAAAUUACGCUCAAUUGGCCAUAAUUUAUCGUUAUCGAGUUUGAAGUUAAUGAAUGUUUUAUAGGUUUUAUACGACACUCGAUCUGACAGAAUCAAAUUCCAUGUUUGAACUUUUAAGUGAAAGUACGUAAAUAGAAGUCGAACAAAAACCGGCCUGAAAAAUUGUAUGAAAAUCUUGGGAAUUAAUUAUAACCCGGACGAAAUGAAU
This is a long non-coding RNA of Plodia interpunctella (Indianmeal moth), 723 nucleotides long. RefSeq lists it as uncharacterized. The transcript has 2 exons. NCBI's taxonomy places the organism in Eukaryota, Metazoa, Arthropoda, Insecta, Lepidoptera, Pyralidae. The record is from RefSeq and is a predicted model, not a curated record.